GCCAGGUAUGGUGUGGCUCAUGCCUGUAGUACCAGCUACUUGGAAGGCUGAGGUGGGAGAAUAGAUUGAGCCCAGGCUUUAGAGACCAGUCUGGGCAACAUAGCAAGACCCCAUUUCAU
RNAcentral lists this small RNA (119 nucleotides) under Marmota monax (woodchuck). The record is from RNAcentral. Lineage: Eukaryota; Metazoa; Chordata; Mammalia; Rodentia; Sciuridae.